ACGCUCGACACCUACGGGAGGCAGCAGUGGGGAAUAUUGCACAAUGGGGGAAACCCUGAUGCAGCGACGCCGCGUGAGCGAAGAAGUAUUUCGGUAUGUAAAGCUCUAUCAGCAGGGAANAUAAUGACGGUACCUGACUAAGAAGCUCCGGCUAAAUACGUGCCAACAGCCGCGGUAAUCUGAGCGGGCUGGCAAGGC
RNAcentral lists this ribosomal RNA (198 nucleotides) under uncultured bacterium. RNAcentral describes it as "partial 16S ribosomal RNA". It matches the Rfam family "Bacterial small subunit ribosomal RNA", at positions 328 to 539 of the family's 1533-position model. The record is from RNAcentral.